UGUCCACUAAUAAGUUAGUGACAGGUGUGAAGAAUAGUACUGUCCUUCGCCCAUGUUUUCAGGUAGUGGAAGGAAUGUUUGAUUUGUACCAUGUACUAUUUGAUCAUGUAUCCACUUUGAUAUUAUCUUCAAAUUUAUUGAAUUCUGAUGAAAAUUUGAUGAAGCAUGAAAAGAAGAAACACAAAGCUGAAAUCAUAAUCUUUAGUCAGAACCUUGACCACGUUUGGCUUAAAAUCUUCAGAUUCUUUAGCUAAGUAACAAAACUUC
Molecule: long non-coding RNA, 267 nt
Filed under: Lathyrus oleraceus (garden pea)
Lineage: Eukaryota; Viridiplantae; Streptophyta; Magnoliopsida; Fabales; Fabaceae
Description: Pisum sativum (pea) long non-coding RNA (PSAT_LNC042389)
Source: RNAcentral